AAUCCCACUCGAGAACAGUAUUUCCUGUGUUUAUCAACUCCUUGUUGUCAUCAGCCACCCAAACUAAGUAGGAGCCAAUCCAUAGGUAAACUUAUCUUUUUCCACAGAACAGGGCAUUACUGAACAAAACUAUUGGAUUUAGUUAUUUUCAAUGUGGCAACAGAAAGAUGACUGAAAACUAGAAUAUCAUAAGGUGAAGUUUAUCUCUGCUCCCCCUAAAUCUGGACUGACCUAUGACUGCUUUGACCAAUAGAGUGUGGCAGAAAUAAUGCCACACCAGUUUGGGGCUUAGCAUUUGAAAGAAUUGUAGCUUCUGCUUUGGUCCUGUGGAGCCAUCAGCCAACAUAAAAGUAUGACUGUCCUGCUGGAGAGACCACAUGGAGAGGCCUGAGAUUACAUGGUGAAGAUGAAGGGGCCAGCUGAAUCCUGCCUUCUAGCUGUCACCUCCAAGAUGCCACA
Orcinus orca (killer whale) is the source of this 459-nucleotide long non-coding RNA. RefSeq lists it as uncharacterized. The record is from RefSeq and is a predicted model, not a curated record. Lineage: Eukaryota; Metazoa; Chordata; Mammalia; Artiodactyla; Delphinidae. The transcript is spliced from 3 exons.